Molecule: ribosomal RNA, 449 nt
Filed under: uncultured bacterium
Lineage: Bacteria
Description: bacterial SSU rRNA
Rfam family: Bacterial small subunit ribosomal RNA
Source: RNAcentral
UCGAGAAUCUUUCGCAAUGGGCGCAAGCCUGACGAAGCGACGCCGUGUGAGCGAAGAAGGCCUUCGGGUUGUAAAGCUCUUUCGCUAGGGAACAAGAGAGUUGCGUGAAUAACGCAAUGAUUUGAUGGUACUUGGUAAAGAAGCACCGGCUAACUCCGUGCCAGCAGCUGCGGUAAUACGGAGGGUGCAAGCAUUGAUCGGAAUUACUGGGCGUAAAGGGCGCGUAGGCUGUAAGGGAAGUCAGGUGUGAAAUUCCGGAGCUCAACUUCGGAGCUGCACUUGAAACUUUCUUACUAGAGGGUAGUUAGGGAAAACGGAAUUCCACGUGUAGCGGUGAAAUGCGUAGAUAUGUGGAAGAACACCGGUGGUGAAGACGGUUUUCUGGGCUAUAACUGACGCUGAGGCGCGAAAGUAAGGGGAGCAAACAGGAUUAGAUACCCGCGUAGUCC